This 253-nucleotide ribosomal RNA is filed under the name uncultured bacterium. RNAcentral describes it as "partial 16S ribosomal RNA". It matches the Rfam family "Bacterial small subunit ribosomal RNA", at positions 524 to 776 of the family's 1533-position model. The record is from RNAcentral.
GACGUAGGGCGCGAGCGUUGUUCGGAUUUACUGGGCGUAAAGGGCGCGUAGGCGGCGCAACAAGUCACUUGUGAAAUCUCCGGGCUUAACCCGGAGCGGUCAAGUGAUACUGUCGUGCUAGAGUGCGGAAGGGGCUACUGGAAUUCUCGGUGUAGCGGUGAAAUGCGUAGAUAUCGAGAGGAACACCUGCGGCGAAGGCGGGUAGCUGGGCCGACACUGACGCUGAUGCGCGAAAGCCAGGGGAGCGAACGGG